This 74-nucleotide transfer RNA is filed under the name Candidatus Collierbacteria bacterium RIFOXYA1_FULL_46_24. RNAcentral describes it as "tRNA-Gln". It matches the Rfam family "tRNA". From Rfam's summary of the family: Transfer RNA (tRNA) molecules are approximately 80 nucleotides in length. Their secondary structure includes four short double-helical elements and three loops (D, anti-codon, and T loops). Further hydrogen bonds mediate the characteristic L-shaped molecular structure. tRNAs have two regions of fundamental functional importance: the anti-codon, which is responsible for specific mRNA codon recognition, and the 3' end, to which the tRNAs corresponding amino acid is attached (by aminoacyl-tRNA synthetases). tRNAs cope with the degeneracy of the genetic code in two manners: having more than one tRNA (with a specific anti-codon) for a particular amino acid; and 'wobble' base-pairing, i.e. permitting non-standard base-pairing at the 3rd anti-codon position. The record is from RNAcentral. RNAcentral also lists the same sequence under 2 other names. Lineage: Bacteria; Candidatus Collieribacteriota.
UGCCGAGUCGUCUAAUGGUAGGACAGCAGUUUCUGAAGCUGCUUAUUGGGGUUCGAAUCCCUGCUCGGCAACAA